This is a non-coding RNA of Caenorhabditis elegans, 21 nucleotides long. NCBI's taxonomy places the organism in Eukaryota, Metazoa, Nematoda, Chromadorea, Rhabditida, Rhabditidae. The record is from Ensembl.
CGAUUCUCAAGCUCUUGUUCU